AGUCGUGGGGCAGCAGGGGCGUAGCAAUACGCUCGCUGGCGACCGGCAAACGGGUGCGGAACACGUACACAACCUUCCUUUAAGUGGGGAAUAGCCCGGGGAAACCCGGAUUAAUACCCCGUAAUAUAAUGAAGUGGCAUCGCUUUAUUAUUAUAGCUCCGGCGCUUGAAGAUGGGUGUGCGACUGAUUAGGCAGUUGGCGGGGUAACGGCCCACCAAACCUACGAUCAGUAACUGGUGUGAGAGCACGACCAGUCACACGGGCACUGAGACACGGGCCCGACUCCUACGGGAGGCAGCAGUAAGGAAUAUUGGUCAAUGGACGCAAGUCUGAACCAGCCAUGCCGCGUGGAGGAUGAAGGUCCUCUGGAUUGUAAACUUCUUUUAUCUGGGAAGAAAUCCACGAAUUCUUUUGUGGUUGACGGUACCAGAUGAAUAAGCACCGGCUAACUCCGUGCCAGCAGCCGCGGUAAUACGGAGGGUGCAAGCGUUAUCCGGAUUCACUGGGUUUAAAGGGUGCGUAGGUGGGUUGGUAAGUCAGUGGUGAAAUCUCCAGGCUUAACUUGGAAACUGCCAUUGAUACUAUCAAUCUUGAAUACCGUGGAGGUCAGCGGAAUAUGUCAUGUAGCGGUGAAAUGCUUAGAUAUGACAUAGAACACCAAUUGCGAAGGCAGCUGGCUACACGAAUAUUGACACUGAUGCACGAAAGCGUGGGGAUCAAACAGGAUUAGAUACCCUGGCAGUCCACGCCCUAAACGAUGGAUACUCGACAUACCGCAUAUACUGUGUGUGUCUGAGCG
This 799-nucleotide ribosomal RNA is filed under the name uncultured Sphingobacteriia bacterium. RNAcentral's name for it is "bacterial SSU rRNA". It matches the Rfam family "Bacterial small subunit ribosomal RNA", at positions 60 to 853 of the family's 1533-position model. The record is from RNAcentral. Lineage: Bacteria; Pseudomonadati; Bacteroidota; Sphingobacteriia.